RNAcentral lists this ribosomal RNA (484 nucleotides) under uncultured bacterium. Its description in RNAcentral is "partial 16S ribosomal RNA". It matches the Rfam family "Bacterial small subunit ribosomal RNA", at positions 30 to 507 of the family's 1533-position model. The record is from RNAcentral.
AUUGAACGCUGGCGGCAGGCCUAACACAUGCAAGUCGAGCGGAUGAAGGGAGCUUGCUCCUGGAUUCAGCGGCGGACGGGUGAGUAAUGCCUAGGAAUCUGCCUGGUAGUGGGGGAUAACGUCCGGAAACGGGCGCUAAUACCGCAUACGUCCUGAGGGAGAAAGUGGGGGAUCUUCGGACCUCACGCUAUCAGAUGAGCCUAGGUCGGAUUAGCUAGUUGGUGGGGUAAAGGCCUACCAAGGCGACGAUCCGUAACUGGUCUGAGAGGAUGACCAGUCACACUGGAACUGAGACACGGUCCAGACUCCUACGGGAGGCAGCAGUGGGGAAUAUUGGACAAUGGGCGAAAGCCUGAUCCAGCCAUGCCGAGUGUGUGAAGAAGGUCUUCGGAUUGUAAAGCACUUUAAGUUGGGAGGAAGGGCAGUAAGUUAAUACCUUGCUGUUUUGACGUUACCAACAGAAUAAGCACCGGCUAACUUCGUG